GUCCAGAGCCCACCCUUGGAGAACCACUGGGCUAUAGAAUGAUGUCAAGGGCUGGAGAGGGAGGCUACAGAGUGGGUCUAGGUCCAGGUACAGUCUCAGAACCACACUGCAAAACUGGCUUAGUCAGGUAGCUGCUGUAUCUGCUGCUUCCACUGUGAACUCAAAAACCACAUUGCCUGUGCUGCAGGCCGGAAAGCUGCUGAACCAGGAAGCUGUGCUGAUGCUGCUGACUGCCCCUGAGGUUAGAGAUUGACUAGACAUAGUGCCACUGUCAUCCCUGCUGGAGAAGGUCCGAAGCACCUCCACCUCUGUGCUUCCAGAGGGGCACUGUGGUGGCCACUUAAAAUGCUCAGGCUAUACCAUGCACUAGAGCAUCUACCUGGGCAAGGGAUAUGCUGUAUGACACUCUCCUGAUGCUGGGCAUGGCUGUGAGCCAAAGCACCCAGGCAGCCCUGCCAUCAGAAGGGUAAACCACGGACACCUGAUGCCUUCCUGAAGGAAGAGCACUACGCCUGCCAAACCAUCAAGCGUUGAUGCUCCAGCGCCUUCUACCCGUGGUUCUCCAGCCUCAGCAGAAGAGAGAGAAAUUGAUGACCCUGUCGUUGUAGCAUCCCCAUCACCCAGCAAUUAAUUUUAGUUCAAUGCUUCAAACGCUCUUCAGGCGCAGUGUGCGUUCAGCUGUGUCAGCUAAUGCAAAUGGGGGAUCUCAGAAGUCUUAAUGAAGUAACUAUCCCUGAACACUGGGAUCAAUACUCAGCAUCCAGCUGUCAAAUCAACACCAAGCGUUUCACUCGUCGCCCAGCCUAGAGUGCAAUGGCGCUAUUUCGGCUCAUUAUAACCUCCGCCUCCCGGGUUCAAGCAAUUCUUCUGCUUCAGCGUCCCAAGUAGCUGGGAUUACAGAAUGUCCAGUGCUAGGAGACUCAUAAGUUGGAGAGAAACGGCCUGAUUUAUAGAAACUGAGCGAGACUCCGGACCACCUGAUGCAGAGAAACCUGUGACCUGAAAAAGUCUAUUUGUGUUUCCUCUAGGAAUCUCGGCCAAGAAGACAGGGACAAGCUCCCAACUCUGACUACCCCUUUUACAGGGAAAAAAAAAAAAUCCCGUGCCUUCUUUGCAGCAAGUGACAAAUCCUUGUCAUAUCGAGAUGGCUUUUCCUCCUCCUCUUCAAACAUCUUUUAGCAGCAACAGCAGCUCAAGUAACUGGAAUUAUUUCAGAGUUAAAAUGCAGGCUUUGUAGACCCUCUUAGACAGACAGAUUCAAUUUCAAAGGAAACUUCUUUGGCUGGGUACUCAGUGAGUGUUACACAGGGAUUUGGGGAGUUAAUAUUCACUGUUUCUGUUGUUGGAGAAAAGGAAAGCAGAGUUGCUCUUUCUCAUUACUCUCCCCAACGCACAUCUGUUUCCUCUCGUAUCUUGGAAUUAGGAAGAUGGAGGAGACUUAAGUGGUGACCCACCUAGCCUCCUGAUGCAUGCUGGGCUCACUUUAAAACUCCCAAAACAGAUGGCAGUUGAUCACGGUUUUAAAGAUCCCAGCAUAGACUUUCUGCAGCCUCCCUUGUUAGCCACUAUCAGCGCUUAACAUUCUGUCAUCUGAAUAACUCCUUAAAAAUGAUAGCAAUGGUAGUAGAAAUUUAAAAGGAACCUCCCAAAAAACAUGCAAAAGCUUACCACCCCAGUAAAUCACCCGCAACAAUGUCGCAACAGUUUAAAUUUACUGCAGAGAGAGCUGAAGUUUAGGAGACACAGCUUUAUAAUAUUUUUGAGAGAUAGUUGAGUGCAAAUGAGUCCUGUUCCUCUUGCAUCAGGGCCUGCUCCACUGAGUCAUCCUGCCUUCAGAAGCUUCCAGCUAAGUGGCAGGCCCCGGCCAUAGGCUCCCUGUGUCCCCAGCCUCCAGAGAACACACAAUGUUCUCAUCGCCCUUAGCUCCAUUCCAGAAGGGGCCUGCAGUUCUGCAGCUUAUCAGGGGUCUACUGGGAAGUGAGAUGUCACUGUCCCUUUCUGGCCCUGCAUUGUCUGUGAGUGGCUCUCCUGGAUUAAGAGUUGGCAAAGUAUGGCCAGUGGCCAGGACUGGCCUGCUGCCUGUUUUUGUUUAACCCGUGAGCUAAGAAUAGUUUUUACCUAUUUUAAGUAGUUGAAAAAAAAAUCAAGAGAAGAAUACUAUUUCGUGAUAUGUGAAAAAUCACAUGAAAUUCAAAUGUAAGUGUCCAUAAAUAAAGUCUUACUGGAAGACAGCCUUGCUCAUUUAUUUCUGUCUCAUUCGCUACUGUCUGCGGCUGCCUUCACGCUACAAUGGCAGUACUGAGUAGUUGUGACGGGCACUGUAUGACAGCAAAUCCUAAAGUAUUUGCCAUCUGGCCCUUCACAGAAAAAGUUUGCUGACCCUGGCUUUCGAGCCUCUCAUCACUUUGGGAUUCAUCUCUUUACUUUCCCCAGAGUGAGGGAGGCAGUAACGUUCCUCGUGAGUGCUUAGUCCUUGCUCCCAAGGCAAUAAACCCCCCAAAACCCCUCUCUUUCUGCAGUCUUCUUGUUGGCUUGAUAGUGGUAGGGCUGGUUCAGCCAAGGUCACAGUUGGAGGGCAGGAAGGGGGUACAGCGAAGGACGACGGGGGUGUCUUCUCUAGUCCUGUUUGCAGCAAUCUUUAGAAUGCAAAAUAAUUAAGAAGAAACUGCUGUUUUUUGGCUGUGGGAUGCAAUUCGAAUUCUGGAAAAUUAGAAUCAACAGAACGUGGGAUGUGGGAGUCCAGGACAACUCCCCUGUUUUGGCUGUGUUUGGUGCCAUGUGUGGAGGUGGGAGAGAUGGGAGAAAGAAGAGGUUUGGGCAGGGGGAGGGAAGAAUCAAGAUUCUGCUUUGAAUGGACGAAGGUUGUGGUUUGUUGAGAGGACAACUAGAUAACUGGCCACUUGAAGAUGGGAUGGAAGUCUGAAUCUGCAAGGAGUCACAGAUGAAUGGUAUGGAAAGCUGUGGUAGUGGAUGAGAUCAUACGAACGGUGGGUGCAGAUGGAAACGAGAAGCCAUCUAAGGACUCGUAAUGGGCUCCUCAACACUUGGAAGUUGGGUAGAGGAAGAAGACCGCAUGAGGGCAGGAUCCUGAAUGUUCCACUCACUGCUAUAUCCCUA
RNAcentral lists this long non-coding RNA (3117 nucleotides) under Homo sapiens (human). Its description in RNAcentral is "HSALNT0372443". Lineage: Eukaryota; Metazoa; Chordata; Mammalia; Primates; Hominidae. The record is from RNAcentral.